GACGAACGCUGACGGUGUGCUUUAGACAUGCAAGUCGAACGCGAAAGCCCUUCGGGUUAGUAGAGUGGCGAACGGGUGAGUAACACGUGGGCAAUCUGCCCCUCGCAGGGGGACAACCGGAGGAAACUCCGGCUAAUACCCCGUACCGCUUGCGGAACCGCAUGGUACCGCAAGGAAAGGUAGCUUCGGCCAUCCGGCGAGGGAUGAGCCCGCGGUGCAUUAGCUAGUUGGUGGGGUAACGGCCCACCAAGGCGACGAUGCAUAGCUGGUCUGAGAGGAUGAUCAGCCACACUGGGACUGAGACACGGCCCAGACUCCUACGGGAGGGCAGCAGUCGGGAAUCUUGCGCAAUGGGCGAAAGCCUGACGCAGCAACACCGUGUGAGCGACGAAGGCC
RNAcentral lists this ribosomal RNA (396 nucleotides) under uncultured bacterium. RNAcentral's name for it is "bacterial SSU rRNA". It matches the Rfam family "Bacterial small subunit ribosomal RNA", at positions 28 to 416 of the family's 1533-position model. The record is from RNAcentral.